Molecule: transfer RNA, 72 nt
Filed under: Candidatus Kaiserbacteria bacterium
Lineage: Bacteria; Candidatus Kaiseribacteriota
Description: tRNA-Glu
Rfam family: tRNA
About the family: Transfer RNA (tRNA) molecules are approximately 80 nucleotides in length. Their secondary structure includes four short double-helical elements and three loops (D, anti-codon, and T loops). Further hydrogen bonds mediate the characteristic L-shaped molecular structure. tRNAs have two regions of fundamental functional importance: the anti-codon, which is responsible for specific mRNA codon recognition, and the 3' end, to which the tRNAs corresponding amino acid is attached (by aminoacyl-tRNA synthetases). tRNAs cope with the degeneracy of the genetic code in two manners: having more than one tRNA (with a specific anti-codon) for a particular amino acid; and 'wobble' base-pairing, i.e. permitting non-standard base-pairing at the 3rd anti-codon position.
Source: RNAcentral
GGCCCUAUCGUCUAACGGUUAGGACACUUGGUUCUCAUCCAAGAAAUCCGGGUUCGAUUCCCGGUAGGGUCA